GUUAAGCGACUAAGCGUACACGGUGGAUGCCCUGGCAGUCAGAGGCGAUGAAGGGCGUGCUAAUCUGCGAUAAGCGCCGGUAAGGUGAUAUGAACCGUUAUAACCGGCGAUACCCGAAUGGGGAAACCCAGUGUGAUUCGUCACACUAUCAUUAACUGAAUCCAUAGGUUAAUGAGGCGAACCGGGGGAACUGAAACAUCUAAGUACCCCGAGGAAAAGAAAUCAACCGAGAUUCCCCCAGUAGCGGCGAGCGAACGGGGAGGAGCCCAGAGCCUGAAUCAGCAUGUGUGUUAGUGGAAGCGUCUGGAAAGGCGCGCGAUACAGGGUGACAGCCCCGUACACAAAAGCGCAUGUGCUGUGAGCUCGAUGAGUAGGGCGGGACACGUGGUAUCCUGUCUGAAUAUGGGGGGACCAUCCUCCAAGGCUAAAUACUCCUGACUGACCGAUAGUGAACCAGUACCGUGAGGGAAAGGCGAAAAGAACCCCGGCGAGGGGAGUGAAAAAGAACCUGAAACCGUGUACGUACAAGCAGUGGGAGCA
This 540-nucleotide ribosomal RNA is filed under the name Salmonella enterica. RNAcentral's name for it is "partial 23S ribosomal RNA". It matches the Rfam family "Bacterial large subunit ribosomal RNA", at positions 1 to 581 of the family's 2925-position model. Lineage: Bacteria; Pseudomonadati; Pseudomonadota; Gammaproteobacteria; Enterobacterales; Enterobacteriaceae. The record is from RNAcentral. RNAcentral also lists the same sequence under 1 other name.